CCCACUCCCGGCACGGGGAGGUAGUGACGAAAAAUAACAAUACGGGACUCUUUUGAGACCCCGUAAUUGGAAUGAGUACACUCUAAAUCCUUUAACGAGGAUCUAUUGGAGGGCAAGUCUGGUGCCAGCAGCCGCGGUAAUUCCAGCUCCAAUAGCGUAUAUUAAAGUUGUUGCGGUUAAAAAGCUCGUAGUUGGAUCUCAGUUCCAGACGGGCGGUCCUCCUAACGGUGGUUACUGCCUGGCCUGAACAGCCAGCCGGUUUCCCUAGAUGAUCUUCACCGGUUGUCUUGGGUGACCGGCACGUUUACUUUGAAAAAAUUAGAGUGCUCAAAGCAGGCGUGUAGCCUGAAUAAUGGUGCAUGGAAUAAUGGAAUAGGACUUCGUUUCUAUUUUGUUGGUUUUCGGAACACGAGGUAAUGAUUAAGAGGGACAGACGGGGGCAUUCGUAUUGCGACGCUAGAGGUGAAAUUCUUGGACCGUCGCAAGACGAAC
This 492-nucleotide ribosomal RNA is filed under the name Macrothelidae gen. 2 sp. 4 ZZY-2021a. RNAcentral's name for it is "SSU rRNA". It matches the Rfam family "Eukaryotic small subunit ribosomal RNA", at positions 444 to 940 of the family's 1831-position model. The record is from RNAcentral. Lineage: Eukaryota; Metazoa; Arthropoda; Arachnida; Araneae; Macrothelidae.